UGAGACACGGCCCAGACUCCUACGGGAGGCAGCAGUGGGGAAUAUUGCACAAUGGGCGAAAGCCUGAUGCAGCGACGCCGCGUGAGGGAUGACGGCCUUCGGGUUGUAAACCUCUUUCAGCAGGGAAGAAGCGCAAGUGACGGUACCUGCAGAAGAAGCACCGGCUAACUACGUGCCAGCAGCCGCGGUAAUACGUAGGGUGCGAGCGUUGUCCGGAAUUAUUGGGCGUAAAGAGCUCGUAGGCGGCCUGUCGCGUCGGAUGUGAAAGCCCGGGGCUUAACCCCGGGUCUGCAUUCGAUACGGGCAGGCUAGAGUGUGGUAGGGGAGAUCGGAAUUCCUGGUGUAGCGGUGAAAUGCGCAGAUAUCAGGAGGAACACCGGUGGCGAAGGCGGAUCUCUGGGCCAUUACUGACGCUGAGGAGCGAAAGCGUGGGGAGCGAACAGGAUUAGAUACCCUGGUAGUCCACGCCGUAAACGUUGGGAACUAGGUGUUGGCGACAUUCCACGUCGUCGGUGCCGCAGCUAACGCAUUAAGUUCCCCGCCUGGGGAGUACGGCCGCAAGGCUAAAACUCAAAGGAAUUGACGGGGGCCCGCACAAGCAGCGGAGCAUGUGGCUUAAUUCGACGCAACGCGAAGAACCUUACCAAGGCUUGACAUAUGCCGGAAACGGCCAGAGAUGGUCGCCCCCUUGUGGUCGGUAU
RNAcentral lists this ribosomal RNA (701 nucleotides) under Streptomyces sp. Its description in RNAcentral is "bacterial SSU rRNA". It matches the Rfam family "Bacterial small subunit ribosomal RNA", at positions 320 to 1033 of the family's 1533-position model. Lineage: Bacteria; Bacillati; Actinomycetota; Actinomycetes; Kitasatosporales; Streptomycetaceae. The record is from RNAcentral.